ACGCUGGCGGCGUGCCUAAUAAUGCAAGUCGAGCGGAAGAUGGGAGCUUGCUCCCUGAUGUUAGCGGCGGACGGGUGAGUAACACGUGGGUAACCUGCCUGUAAGACUGGGAUAACUCCGGGAAACCGGGGCUAAUACCGGAUGCUUGUUUGAACCGCAUGGUUCAAACAUAAAAGGUGGCUUCGGCUACCACUUACAGAUGGACCCGCGGCGCAUUAGCUAGUUGGUGAGGUAAUGGCUCACCAAGGCGACGAUGCGUAGCGAACCUGAGAGGGAGAUCGGCCACACUGGGACUGAAACACGGCCCAGACUCCUACGGGAGGCAGCAGUAGGGAAUCUUCCGCAAUGGACGAAAAUCUGACGGGACAACGCCCCGUGAAUGAUGAAGGUUU
Molecule: ribosomal RNA, 392 nt
Filed under: Bacillus mojavensis
Lineage: Bacteria; Bacillati; Bacillota; Bacilli; Caryophanales; Bacillaceae
Description: bacterial SSU rRNA
Rfam family: Bacterial small subunit ribosomal RNA
Source: RNAcentral